This 1245-nucleotide ribosomal RNA is filed under the name uncultured Acinetobacter sp. Its description in RNAcentral is "bacterial SSU rRNA". It matches the Rfam family "Bacterial small subunit ribosomal RNA", at positions 76 to 1316 of the family's 1533-position model. Lineage: Bacteria; Pseudomonadati; Pseudomonadota; Gammaproteobacteria; Moraxellales; Moraxellaceae. The record is from RNAcentral.
UAGCUUGCUACCUGACCUAGCGGCGGACGGGUGAGUAAUGCUUAGGAAUCUGCCUAUUAGUGGGGGACAACAUUCCGAAAGGAAUGCUAAUACCGCAUACGCCCUACGGGGGAAAGCAGGGGAUCUUCGGACCUUGCGCUAAUAGAUGAGCCUAAGUCAGAUUAGCUAGUUGGUGGGGUAAAGGCCUACCAAGGCGACGAUCUGUAGCGGGUCUGAGAGGAUGAUCCGCCACACUGGGACUGAGACACGGCCCAGACUCCUACGGGAGGCAGCAGUGGGGAAUAUUGGACAAUGGGCGAAAGCCUGAUCCAGCCAUGCCGCGUGUGUGAAGAAGGCCUUUUGGUUGUAAAGCACUUUAAGCGAGGAGGAGGCUACUUGGAUUAAUACUCUAGGAUAGUGGACGUUACUCGCAGAAUAAGCACCGGCUAACUCUGUGCCAGCAGCCGCGGUAAUACAGAGGGUGCGAGCGUUAAUCGGAUUUACUGGGCGUAAAGCGUGCGUAGGCGGCUUCUUAAGUCGGAUGUGAAAUCCCUGAGCUUAACUUAGGAAUUGCAUUCGAUACUGGGAAGCUAGAGUAUGGGAGAGGAUGGUAGAAUUCCAGGUGUAGCGGUGAAAUGCGUAGAGAUCUGGAGGAAUACCGAUGGCGAAGGCAGCCAUCUGGCCUAAUACUGACGCUGAGGUACGAAAGCAUGGGGAGCAAACAGGAUUAGAUACCCUGGUAGUCCAUGCCGUAAACGAUGUCUACUAGCCGUUGGGGCCUUUGAGGCUUUAGUGGCGCAGCUAACGCGAUAAGUAGACCGCCUGGGGAGUACGGUCGCAAGACUAAAACUCAAAUGAAUUGACGGGGGCCCGCACAAGCGGUGGAGCAUGUGGUUUAAUUCGAUGCAACGCGAAGAACCUUACCUGGUCUUGACAUAGUAAGAACUUUCCAGAGAUGGAUUGGUGCCUUCGGGAACUUACAUACAGGUGCUGCAUGGCUGUCGUCAGCUCGUGUCGUGAGAUGUUGGGUUAAGUCCCGCAACGAGCGCAACCCUUUUCCUUAUUUGCCAGCGAGUAAUGUCGGGAACUUUAAGGAUACUGCCAGUGACAAACUGGAGGAAGGCGGGGACGACGUCAAGUCAUCAUGGCCCUUACGACCAGGGCUACACACGUGCUACAAUGGUCGGUACAAAGGGUUGCUACCUAGCGAUAGGAUGCUAAUCUCAAAAAGCCGAUCGUAGUCCGGAUUGGAGUCUGCAACUCGAC